GCCUCUGUAGCUCAGUGGUUAGAACGUUGGUCUUCUAAACCAGGAGUCGAGAGUUCAGUUCCUUCCGGCGGUU
RNAcentral lists this transfer RNA (73 nucleotides) under Trichuris suis (pig whipworm). It matches the Rfam family "tRNA". Rfam says of the family: Transfer RNA (tRNA) molecules are approximately 80 nucleotides in length. Their secondary structure includes four short double-helical elements and three loops (D, anti-codon, and T loops). Lineage: Eukaryota; Metazoa; Nematoda; Enoplea; Trichinellida; Trichuridae. The record is from Rfam by way of RNAcentral.